GGAUGUUGAGAGUAUUCAUGUAAUUUGCCUCCUGCCAGUCCAGCUCGCUACUUCCGCCAAGAACUCGGGUUCCCUCAGUCAACAGCAAGAUGGAAAUGUUCCAGAAGUCUUUCUUCUUGAUGUCGGUCACAAACUCGAGCGGUGGAUGAUAUCCUUUGAAAGGUUUUGCUGCUCCUGAAACUUCUUGUAUUUCACCUCUUCGUGGUUCUGAUUCUAAUAAUGUAACUUUCGUGACAGCGGAAAAGUACGAACUCUAUGCUUGGAAAGUUUCAAAACAGCGUAGUGGUGACCACAAUUUCAGAAAGGAGAUCUUCUAUGAAGUAAAGGAAGCUUUAUUUUUCAUGUUGAUUCAUGUUUUCUUUCCUAUUUAGCGUUCUGUUAGUGAAUUACAAUUGCGUAAGCGAAGUUGCUGCGAGUUCGGAUCUCCUAUGAAGUAAGCUUCUUCUUCUUUGGAUGUUGAUUGAUUUUUUUCUUUCUUUUUUUAGAGUUUACGUGAGCAAGUUGCUGAAACUGAAUUUGUAUUUUCUUCUUUACAGCAUGACACAUUCGAGGUAUGAUUUUUGGUUUUUUUUUGGAAAAGGUGAAGCUACAGCCUAUGUAAGUUCAAUAGGGCGCUGUUGACGAGCUCCUCGAGGCUUCUGGAAUGCUUGGUAAGUCCCACAAAACCCGAAAACGUUAAGAAGUUUUCUUCGUCUGAGGCAGUCGCUGACAUUGCUUCCAGGGACGUCUCCAUUUCACCGUCUUCUCUAAAACGUCGCAAGAACCUGGCGUCCUUUGCCAUCAAGCUGUUCAGAAGCUCUACGCUAUAUCGCCGGAUACGAUUCAAGCUCCUAGAAGGUGCUGUCUGGGAUAGAAGCUCUGUGAUUUUUUCGCAAAGCCGUUGUUCAAAGUUACGUGUGUCGAGCCAGGGGAUUAUGGCUGCUGCCAAACCGAUGGCUGCCUGCUGUUCCUUGUCUGUGGAUUCCAGCACCAUCUGGAUGAUGGGAGAUAUGGCUGCUCCAAGCUCCAACUUUUCUUCGUCGUUAAGCUCACCGCACAAGCUUCGCAAAAUUGUGGCUGCAUGGACUCCAAUUGGCUUGGUGAGCAUGUUGAUCAAGCUCUUGAGGGUCUUGCUAACGCCACCUUGGCUGUAGCUUUUGCGCCUGAGGAGCCUCGAGCAAUUGUUGGGACACUGGAGGACGAGCAAAAAUAUGGCUUCCCCGGCUCUCAUGGCGAUGCUCAACUGGUGGCUGUUCGGUGCGGUUUCUCUCGCAAAUAUGGCCAUCAAGCUUUGGAUAACUCCUCCAGUUGCACCAAUGCAAUCUCUAAGCUCGUCCUCGGUUGCUAACAGCUUGAUCACGUCUACUGCCAGGUCCUGUAGCUCCAAAUCUUCGAGAUUGCAUAUCCUUUGAAGACUUCUUACUGCUGACACUACCGACACUAUCUUCUUUCGCAGAGACCGUCCAGAAUCUCCUCCCGCGCCAGCCAAUGUCCUCAAAAGCUCGAGUGAUCGACGGAAUACUUUUCUCGACGUUCGUACUUCGAGGAAGUUCCAGUCUUCGUCUUGGAUAAACGCAACCAGGAUGGAGAUAAGUCCGCUGGUGUUACCGAUUCGCACGCAUGUCCUGUGGUCCACGGCUAGCCUGUUGAGGAUAGCGAGUCCGUAUCUCUGUUCUUCUGGCACUAUCUUCUCUCCUGCGGUUAAAAGGGAAAUGAUGGCUUCCAGGGAUCCAGGGAUAGCGGAAAUCCUGAAGCAGUUACUCCGGUGACGAAGCAGGUACUUGAUUACUAUCGUUGCAGCUUUCCUGAUUUCGGCCUCACUAAGAUCCUUCCAGGUGAUCAUCUCUAAGAGUCUCUCCACAACUCCACAACUACACAGGAGGAAGAAAGAAAAGGUAGAGAAGAAAGUGAAGAAGAAUCAAUGAAGAAGACGAAGAAAGGAGCUAAUUACUUCUGUCCGUGAAGAUGAGUGGAGAGAGCAACUUCAAAGAGCUAAAACUUUCACAUGACAAACGGUCAGACGAGAAACUGGAGCACUAGUGCUGCGAUUCCAGAUUGAUCAAUGUUGUUUGACAACAAUGAUCUGACACACACAAGACUGUUUUCUUCGUCUCGGUAGCGCCCUUUCUACUGUUGCACAACAAACUAUUGCACAGCCGUGGAAGGGAAUAAUAGUAUAUAGAAACCUGUUGUAUCUCGUACUCUUGCUCUAUAAAUUCUCCAUAAACUUAAAGCUUCUUCUUCCAGGCCUAGAGAAAAGUCGGCUUCAAACACACGGCAUGGCCAUCUUUUUGUGUGUACUGUGCAGAACUCUCCCUUUCAACCAGGUCUUAUAGUUUGCCACUUACUAAGCUUAGGUGGUGGGAAAGAAAAAACUGGAGUAGUGAUGUUUCUAUCUUAUACUUAAGAACCUUGUGUUGGCUCGAGGAGUAGUACUACGAAGUGGUGUAACAAACGCAAAGCUUGGACAGGGCAGAUUGCUACUGAACACUAUUGCCAUUGCCACAAGCCUCAAAUUUGCAGGGCAAACUUUCUUUUCCUUCUUGUGAAUAUUACAAUUUUCUUUCAUUGUGCAAGAUAAAAAUUAAGUUAUACCUCCCAAUAUAUAGAUAUUUAUAUAUAAAAAACUUUUUAAUACAACUAAUUCAAUUACACAAAAUCUUUGUUUGCUUUUUUUGAUGACAUGCAUCAUAAACAUGCCCCUAAUUGAUCUUGUUGUACUCAUUAUCACCAUUUAAAUAGAUGAAUAUCAAAUCAUUUAAAGUUUCAAUAUUUAAAUAGCAUUUUGAAGUAGUUUUUAACUGAUUUUGAUAAGAAAAUCCACCUUCAGCACAAGUAGUGCUCACAGGUAUCAAAGAGAUAAUUUUGCAUAAUUCUAUCAAAUUAAAACAUAUAUCUAUCAUGGAAAUAUCAUCUCUGCAUAUUUGCCAAGCGACUAGCUUAUUUUUUGUUAACAGAUUACUUUGCAUAAUAGUUACAAACUUUGUGAAUUCUCCUUUACAUUUUUCCCCAUCAACAAAAGCACCAUAUUAGUUCAGUAAAAUAUUUAGCCAUUUGUAAAAGUUGUUAUCCAAUUUUUCCUUAUCAUUUGAAUAAUUCUUUGGGCUGAACAGUUUUGUAGUAUUAAAUAUGCCUAUAUCUUUUCCCAUUCUAGCUAACAUAUCAAUGUAUAGUUUUUGAACACACUCCUUAUUUAAAUUUAAGUAAGAGCUUAAGCUCCCAUCUCCUUUGCUCUCUAGAAUAGAAGUAUAAUUUAAGACAUGCUUAUGUUAUUCCUUUUCAGCAUUUAUAAACUUGAUAAAUUCAUCUUUAGUAACCUCCACAAAAUUACUCAAGUGUUUCACACUAAGAGUCUCUUUCAGAAAUUUUCUUUUGAUACUUUUCAAAGUACCAUAUAAUUACCCAACAAUGCUAGCAAUAUCCACAGUUUCAACUUUAAAAGAUUUUGUUCAAACUAUUUAAUUCCAGAAGUAUAUUAGGUAGCAUAUGAAUAAAUGAUCAAUCUUUUUAAAACUUCCCCAUGAAAUAAUCAACGUACACUGUGGAUUUGAAGCAUACCUAAUGUAAAUAUAUUUAUAGCAUCUUCUAGAGGCCUAAAAGCCAUGACUCUUUUUCUAAAAGUAUGCAACCAUUUAUAAAUUUGAUUGCAUAGCUUUUGAACAAUCAUAAGUUUAAAAAAUGCAUGCACAACUUCAAUAGCCACUAAACUUUAUUUAUGUGUUAAGUAAUGCACUCCAAGCAAGUGUGGAAUGUUAUGUUUCAAUAUUGUCACUAGACCAAAUUAUUUUCCAACCAUAAUAAAAGCUCCAUCAGUUUCAAUAACAACACAUUUUCCCUUUUUAAAGUUCAUUUCUUCCAAAACCUUUUUGAUGGCUUCAUAUUUAUUUACAACCUUUAGUUACCAUCAAUUUGAAAAAGUAAGUUUUAUUCAGACUUUUUUCUUUUUCUUGCAUAUGGAAAGAGAUGUAUAUGAUAAGAUGAGAUUCCAAACUUUUAUCAGUAUUGUUAUCCACCAUAAUAGAAAAGUAAGGACUAGCUCAAAUAUUUUGGCAAACAUCUUUCCAUCACAUAUCUUUUUUGCAUUUUACAAACUUUUUUCCACUCAUAGCAUUCAUAUAAGCCUUAUACUCUAUGGUGAUUGGCAUAUAGGGCAUUUCUAUAAACCUAUUAAAUUCACACAAAGAUUUAUAGCUUUGUAAAGGUAAUCCUUUAUUCACAAUGAAGUACAUGUGUUGCAUUAAGGAAAUCAAUUUAUUUUUGUGUUGAUCUUUUUGAGCAGUAAUAUAUUUAAGGAUAGAUAACCCUUUCUUUUUUCUUUACUUCCCAAAUAACUAUAGCUAAUUGAUGUUAUUUGGAAUUAUUAUGCUAUUUUAAAAUUGGUUUUUGAAAAGUCAAAGAACCAUCCUUACCAAAAAAAUUAUACUUUUUAGCAUAUACAUAUAUCAUACAUUUUAUUUUUUAAUUGCCUUCAACAUCUAUCACAAGAUACACCCAAGGAAAACUAAGUUUCCACUCAAUUCUGAAUGUUUUAUUCUUUUUCCUCUUUUUAUUGGUUGUAGUAUUAGUUUCUUUUUCUGUUGUUGAAAGAUCUUCAUCCUCUGAUCUAAUUUUAAAUCCUUCACCAAAAAGGGAAUUAUAAAGCUUUUGCCUUGCAAUAUUUUGUUAAUUUAUAUUUUUUUUUUCCCUCUCAUAGGCAAUAGCAAAAAAUGCUUCAAUCCUAUGUUGUUGCUGUCACUAUCGCUGCUUUCCCAUUUGCCCUAGUCCUAAUCCAUGUCAACUUCAUUGAAUUCAGGUGGUUAGACAUCAGGAUAUUUUUACAAUAUUUUUAAUAAUAUUAGAUAGAAUAUUAUCUAUACUGCAAUGUAAGAAUUUUCUUUGCCCUGCAAGUGGCAACUAAAAUAUUUCUAUACUUCAUUAGUACAAAGUGAAAAUUGAACAUUUCUUUCAAAUAGCAAGGCAAAUUAGAAAUCAGUCUUCAAAUGCAAGGUAAACAUGCCUUUGCAGGGCUUUGCAGGGCUUUGUAGGGUGGAAAUUUGAGGCCUACAUUGUCUCCCUAAAUGUGAUUUGGGUGCCAUAGUUCUAAAGAGAUUGUUGCUAUAGAAGAGCUUACAAGGAUGUUGAGAUAUUGCUGUAAGUUCCUUCAUGCACUUCACAGUGAUAGUAAAUGCCUUGUGAUGGCAUCUUAAACUCGUACCAUGGCAUCUGCAUUGCCAGUUCAAAGAUUAAAUGGCCCACAACCAAGAACAAAGUGAAGAAAAUGAGAAAACUCUAAGAAUGUUGCUGUCCCCUUAAGUUUCUCUGGCCAUAAAUUCGCUGCUACAAUAGCUUAUGUCCUUUCUACGCUUUAAGUUUCAGUGCCCGUAGCGGAUAGAUGUCGUUUGGACACUGUUGACCACAAUUGACUAUCGUUGACCAAUGGACCGUUGACUUGGCUGACUAUGCUGGGUUCGAUUCCUGCGCUGGGCGAUAUUGCCAGGGCUAGGGUUCUUCGAUGGGGCUCAAGCUGCGAGCAGUGCCGAUCACGGAGGAUAAUUUCCGGCCUUGGCCAGCUCCUGGGAAAGAUCGGCGACGGAUGCGAGUAUGGAUCGGGAGACGCGCAGCUCAAUCUCGCGAAUGGGAUUCCCAGGUAGUGCAGGCAAAAUGUGGCCGAAAUUUCCAGCGGCUCGGUAGUGAUUGAGUGAGUGAUGGUUCCUUUGCGCAGAUUCUACCUCAUGGAGCUCAAGAAAACGGGGCUGCGAUUCAAAAGGAUAACGCAUCACGCCAGGGUCACGCAGUGUCUGGGAUCAGUGGGAGCUCAUCCUUGGUACAUGGCGGUCUCUCUUCCCAGCAUUGUGGAUCCUUCAUCGCAACACGAGGGCGCUGUUCGAUCCAACGCUGGUGGCCACUCCUAUUUACCUCCCUCUCAUGCAAGCGUCCAGGUUUUCAAGAUAGAUGGUCCUCGCUUCAUCAAGCUAAACGAAGGAACUUGGCACGCUGGUCCUCUCUUUGGCGAUCGAGAUUCGAUGGUCUUCUACAACUUGGAGCUCAGUGACACCAACGUAAAAUCAUUCGAUCGAGCUUGUAGUUACCAUGACUUAUGUUUUCUCCUUUUUCUUGUUGCAGGUUGUGGAUCACACUACCCACGUGUUUGAGGACGACGUACUGAUCGAAGAUUGAGGUACAGAGCCUUGGCAUUUCAUGUGAUAUUCGAGCGUGAUUUUUGUGCUAGGUGCUGGCGAGCUGAAACACUUUUUUUGCGUGUCUAGAAAAGCAAAUGGUGGAAAUGAAACAAGUUCUUUGCGAGCUAAGAAUUUCAUGUCCCUUGCCAUCAAGUUGUCGAGGAGCUCCUUUUGUGCCUCGGGACACUGACUAGUAGUUGAAGGAUGUACAAGAUGAGGCUGAUGAUCCUGGUCGGAAGAAAAUUUACGAACGGGAUGACUCCCACAGACCAUGGCGUCAACUCCCUGGUAUAAAUCUUUCUUAAUUGAACUGUAACACUGUUAGAAUUCUGUGCAGGGUGCUGAUUAUGGUCGAAAGCCUGCUUUGUCGAACACGAGCGAACGGAUGCUGAGAGUAUUCAUGUAAUUUGCCUCCUGCCAGUCCAGCUUGCUACUUCCGCCAAGAACUCGGGUUACCUCAGUCAACAGCAAGAUGGAAAUGUUCCAGAAGUCUUUCUUCUUCAUGUCGGUCACAAACUCGAGCGGUGGAUGAUAUCCUUUGAAAGGUUUUGCUGCUCCUGAAACUUAUUGUUAUUUCAGCUCUUCGUGGUUCUGAUUUUAAUAAUCUAACUUUCGUGACAGCGGAAAAGUACGAACUCUAUGCUUGGAAAGUUUCAAAUCAGUGUGGAGUACAAUUUCAGAAAGGAGAUCUUCUAUGCAGUGAAGGAAGCUUUAUUUUUCAUGUUGAUUAAUGUUUUCUUUCCUAUUUAGAGUUCUGUUAGUGAAUUACAAUUGCGUGAGCGAAGUUGCUGCGACUUCAGAUCUCCUU
This 6945-nucleotide long non-coding RNA is filed under the name Selaginella moellendorffii. Its description in RNAcentral is "long non-coding RNA (SMOE_LNC001943)". The record is from RNAcentral. Lineage: Eukaryota; Viridiplantae; Streptophyta; Lycopodiopsida; Selaginellales; Selaginellaceae.